Molecule: long non-coding RNA, 466 nt
Organism: Cercocebus atys (sooty mangabey)
Lineage: Eukaryota; Metazoa; Chordata; Mammalia; Primates; Cercopithecidae
Exons: 4
Source: RefSeq, a predicted model, not a curated record
GGAAAACCAAACAUUGUAUGUUCUCACUGAUAUAUAGGAGAUCUCCUUGAGUGUGUGAUGACAGUGACCCGGAAUUAAUUCUAGACUCAUCUCAUACCACGUUUUUGUAGAAAGAAGACUCCAGUGAUCAGAUUUAUAAAGAAUGACUUCAAAUUUCAGCUCCAUGGGUGCUAUUGGCCCUGAAGACCUUCCAAUGGGACAAAAUGUGGAGGUGGAAGACAGUGAUAUUGAUGAUUCUGACCCUACGUAGGCCUUAGUUAAUGUGUGUGUUUGUGUCUUUGUUUUUAACAAAAACAUUUCAAAAGUGAAAAGACAAUUUUAAAGUUUUUAAAUAAGAAAGCUUAUAGAAUAAGGAUAUAAAAAUAUUUUUGUGCAGCUAUACAAUGUGUGUGUUUCAAGGUAAGUGUCAUUAUGAAAGAGUCAAAAAGUUUAAAGAAUAAAAAAUUUAUGAAGUAAAAAAGUUACA